CCUACGGGCGGCAGCAGUGAGGAAUAUUGGUCAAUGGCCGGAAGGCUGAACCAGCCAAGCCGCGUGAGGGAGGAAGGCGCAGAGCGUCGCAGACCUCUUUUGCCGGGGGACAAAAGGCCGGACUCGUCCGGUCCUGAGAGUACCCGGAGAAAAAGCAUCGGCUAACUCCGUGCCAGCAGCCGCGGUACUACGGAGGAUGCGAGCGUUAUCCGGAUUCAUUGGGUUUAAAGGGUUGUCAUGCGGGCCUUUAAGACGGCGGUGAAAUCGCGGGGCUCAACACCGCCGAGCCGUCGGAACUGGCAGCCUUGAGUACAGUUGAGGUAGGCGGAAUUCGUGGUGUAGCGGUGAAAUGCUUAGAUAUCACGAAGAACUCCGAUUGCGAAGGCAGCCUACUAAACUGCCACUGACAUUGAUGCUCGAAAGUGUGGGUAUCAAACAGGAUGAGAUACCCUUGUAGUC
RNAcentral lists this ribosomal RNA (459 nucleotides) under uncultured bacterium. Its description in RNAcentral is "partial 16S ribosomal RNA". It matches the Rfam family "Bacterial small subunit ribosomal RNA", at positions 338 to 795 of the family's 1533-position model. The record is from RNAcentral.